Molecule: ribosomal RNA, 497 nt
Filed under: uncultured bacterium
Lineage: Bacteria
Description: partial 16S ribosomal RNA
Rfam family: Bacterial small subunit ribosomal RNA
Source: RNAcentral
GAUGAACGCUGGCGGCGUGCCUAGUACAUGCAAGUCGAGCGAACAGACGAGGCGCUUGCUCCUCUGACGUUAGCGGCGGACGGGUGAGUAACACGUGGAUAACCUACCUAUCAGACUGGGAUAACUUCGGGAAACCGGAGCUAAUACCGGAUAAUAUAUUGAACCGCAUGGUUCAAUAGUGAAAGACGGUUUUGCUGUCACUUAUAGAUGGAUCCGCGCCGCAUUAGCUAGUUGGUACGGUAACGGCUUACCAAGGCAACGAUGCGUAGCCGACCUGAGAGGGGGAUCGGCCACACGGGAACUGAGACACGGACCAGACUCCUGAGGGAGGGAGCAGUAGGGAAUCUGACGCAAUGGGCGGAAGCCUGACAGAGCAACGCCGCGUGAGUUGUGAAAGUCUUCGGAUCGUAAAACUCUGUUAUUAGGGAAAAACAAAUGUGUAAGGAAAUGAGCACGUCUUGACGGUAACUAAUCAGAAAGCAACGGCUAACUACGUG